Molecule: long non-coding RNA, 253 nt
Organism: Pleuronectes platessa (European plaice)
Lineage: Eukaryota; Metazoa; Chordata; Actinopteri; Pleuronectiformes; Pleuronectidae
Exons: 2
Source: RefSeq, a predicted model, not a curated record
CAGAUUGGACCUUCUUCAUCCUCUGGGUUGUUUCUGAACUAGCCUCACCAUGCUAGUGUGUCAUCACAGGGCAGCACAGGGGGCCGUACCGCUGUGGGGCGGAGGUGUUGUGGCUAAACAAGAAGCCUUGUUAAUAAAAGUGUUGAUGUGGCGCUAUAGUGGCCUGUAUCCUCCUCCUUUCAGACUGGGCUUUCACACAGGGAGAGGUUGUGCAGUGGGAAUAACUUUAAAUAAACAUUCAAAGUCAUUACUA